UUAAGCGACUAAGCGUACACGGUGGAUGCCCUGGCAGUCAGAGGCGAUGAAGGACGUGCUAAUCUGCGAAAAGCGUCGGUAAGGUGAUAUGAACCGUUAUAACCGGCGAUGUCCGAAUGGGGAAACCCAGUGCAAUUCGUUGCACUAUCGUUAACUGAAUACAUAGGUUAACGAGGCGAACCGGGGGAACUGAAACAUCUAAGUACCCCGAGGAAAAGAAAUCAACCGAGAUUCCCCCAGUAGCGGCGAGCGAACGGGGAGCAGCCCAGAGUCUGAAUCAGCUUGUGUGUUAGUGGAACGGUCUGGAAAGUCCGACGGUACAGGGUGAUAGUCCCGUACACCAAAAUGCACAGGUUGUGAACUCGAAGAGUAGGGCGGGACACGUGGUAUCCUGUCUGAAUAUGGGGGGACCAUCCUCCAAGGCUAAAUACUCCUGACUGACCGAUAGUGAACUAGUACCGUGAGGGAAAGGCGAAAAGAACCCCGGCGAGGGGAGUGAAAAAGAACCUGAAACCGUGUACGUACAAGCAGUGGGAGCACCUUCGGGUGUGACUGCGUACCUUUUGUAUAAUGGGUCAGCGACUUAUAUUCUGUAGCAAGGUUAACCGUAUAGGGGAGCCGCAGGGAAACCGAGUCUUAACUGGGCGUUAAGUUGCAGGGUAUAGACCCGAAACCCGGUGAUCUAGCCAUGGGCAGGUUGAAGGUUGGGUAACACUAACUGGAGGACCGAACCGACUAAUGUUGAAAAAUUAGCGGAUGACUUGUGGCUGGGGGUGAAAGGCCAAUCAAACCGGGAGAUAGCUGGUUCUCCCCGAAAGCUAUUUAGGUAGCGCCUCGUGAAUUCAUCUUCGGGGGUAGAGCACUGUUUCGGCUAGGGGGUCAUCCCGACUUACCAAUCCGAUGCAAACUACGAAUACCGAAGAAUGUUAUCACGGGAGACACACGGCGGGUGCUAACGUCCGUCGUGAAGAGGGAAACAACCCAGACCGCCAGCUAAGGUCCCAAAGUCAUGGUUAAGUGGGAAACGAUGUGGGAAGGCACAGACAGCCAGGAUGUUGGCUUAGAAGCAGCCAUCAUUUAAAGAAAGCGUAAUAGCUCACUGGUCGAGUCGGCCUGCGCGGAAGAUGUAACGGGGCUAAACCAUGCACCGAAGCUGCGGCAGCGACACUAUGUGUUGUUGGGUAGGGGAGCGUUCUGUAAGCCUGCGAAGGUGACCUGUGAGGGUUGCUGGAGGUAUCAGAAGUGCGAAUGCUGACAUAAGUAACGAUAAAGCGGGUGAAAAGCCCGCUCGCCGGAAGACCAAGGGUUCCUGUCCAACGUUAAUCGGGGCAGGGUGAGUCGACCCCUAAGGCGAGGCCGAAAGGCGUAGUCGAUGGGAAACAGGUUAAUAUUCCUGUACUUGGUGUUACUGCGAAGGGGGGACGGAGAAGGCUAUGUUAGCCGGGCGACGGUUGUCCCGGUUUAAGCAUGUAGGCUGGUUGUCCAGGCAAAUCCGGAUAAUCAAGGCUGAGGUGUGAUGACGAGGCACUACGGUGCUGAAGUAACAAAUGCCCUGCUUCCAGGAAAAGCCUCUAAGCAUCAGGUAACAUUAAAUCGUACCCCAAACCGACACAGGUGGUCAGGUAGAGAAUACCAAGGCGCUUGAGAGAACUCGGGUGAAGGAACUAGGCAAAAUGGUGCCGUAACUUCGGGAGAAGGCACGCUGGUGUGUAGGUGAAGUCCCUGCGGAUGGAGCUGAGACCAGUCGAAGAUACCAGCUGGCUGCAACUGUUUAUUAAAAACACAGCACUGUGCAAACACGAAAGUGGACGUAUACGGUGUGACGCCUGCCCGGUGCCGGAAGGUUAAUUGAUGGGGUUAUCCGUAAGGAGAAGCUCUUGAUCGAAGCCCCGGUAAACGGCGGCCGUAACUAUAACGGUCCUAAGGUAGCGAAAUUCCUUGUCGGGUAAGUUCCGACCUGCACGAAUGGCGUAAUGAUGGCCAGGCUGUCUCCACCCGAGACUCAGUGAAAUUGAACUCGCUGUGAAGAUGCAGUGUACCCGCGGCAAGACGGAAAGACCCCGUGAACCUUUACUAUAGCUUGACACUGAACAUUGAGCCUUGAUGUGUAGGAUAGGUGGGAGGCUUUGAAGCGUGGACGCCAGUCUGCGUGGAGCCAACCUUGAAAUACCACCCUUUAAUGUUUGAUGUUCUAACGUUGGCCCCUUACCGGGGUUGCGGACAGUGUCUGGUGGGUAGUUUGACUGGGGCGGUCUCCUCCCAAAGCGUAACGGAGGAGCACGAAGGUUAGCUAAUCCUGGUCGGACAUCAGGAGGUUAGUGCAAUGGCAUAAGCUAGCUUGACUGCGAGCGUGACGGCGCGAGCAGGUGCGAAAGCAGGUCAUAGUGAUCCGGUGGUUCUGAAUGGAAGGGCCAUCGCUCAACGGAUAAAAGGUACUCCGGGGAUAACAGGCUGAUACCGCCCAAGAGUUCAUAUCGACGGCGGUGUUUGGCACCUCGAUGUCGGCUCAUCACAUCCUGGGGCUGAAGUAGGUCCCAAGGGUAUGGCUGUUCGCCAUUUAAAGUGGUACGCGAGCUGGGUUUAGAACGUCGUGAGACAGUUCGGUCCCUAUCUGCCGUGGGCGCUGGAGAAUUGAGGGGGGCUGCUCCUAGUACGAGAGGACCGGAGUGGACGCAUCACUGGUGUUCGGGUUGUCAUGCCAAUGGCACUGCCCGGUAGCUAAAUGCGGAAGAGAUAAGUGCUGAAAGCAUCUAAGCACGAAACUUGCCCCGAGAUGAGUUCUCCCUGAGACUUUAAGUCUCCUGAAGGAACGUUAAAGACGAUGACGUUGAUAGGCCGGGUGUGUAAGCGCAGCGAUGCGUUGAGCUAACCGGUACUAAUGAACCGUGAGGCUUAACCUU
Molecule: ribosomal RNA, 2900 nt
Filed under: Klebsiella pneumoniae
Lineage: Bacteria; Pseudomonadati; Pseudomonadota; Gammaproteobacteria; Enterobacterales; Enterobacteriaceae
Description: bacterial LSU rRNA
Rfam family: Bacterial large subunit ribosomal RNA
Source: RNAcentral